This 587-nucleotide ribosomal RNA is filed under the name uncultured bacterium. RNAcentral describes it as "bacterial SSU rRNA". It matches the Rfam family "Bacterial small subunit ribosomal RNA", at positions 338 to 917 of the family's 1533-position model. The record is from RNAcentral.
CCUACGGGAGGCAGCAGUGGGGAAUAUUGCACAAUGGGGGAAACCCUGAUGCAGCCAUGCCGCGUGUGUGAAGAAGGCCUUCGGGUUGUAAAGCACUUUCAGUUGUGAGGAAAAGUUAGUAGUUAAUACCUGCUAGCCGUGACGUUAACAACAGAAGAAGCACCGGCUAACUCCGUGCCAGCAGCCGCGGUAAUACGGAGGGUGCGAGCGUUAAUCGGAAUUACUGGGCGUAAAGCGCACGCAGGCGGUUUGUUAAGCUAGAUGUGAAAGCCCCGGGCUCAACCUGGGAUGGUCAUUUAGAACUGGCAGACUAGAGUCUUGGAGAGGGGAGUGGAAUUCCAGGUGUAGCGGUGAAGUGCGUAGAUAUCUGGAGGAACAUCAGUGGCGAAGGCGACUCCCUGGCCAAAGACUGACGCUCAUGUGCGAAAGUGUGGGUAGCGAACAGGAUUAGAUACCCUGGUAGUCCACACCGUAAACGCUGUCUACUAGCUGUGUGUGAUUUUAAAUCGUGCGUAGCGAAGCUAACGCGCUAAGUAGACCGCCUGGGGAGUACGGCCGCAAGGUUAAAACUCAAAGGAAUUGACGGA